RNAcentral lists this ribosomal RNA (506 nucleotides) under uncultured bacterium. RNAcentral's name for it is "partial 16S ribosomal RNA". It matches the Rfam family "Bacterial small subunit ribosomal RNA", at positions 28 to 523 of the family's 1533-position model. The record is from RNAcentral.
GAUGAACGCUAGCUACAGGCUUAACACAUGCAAGUCGAGGGGUAACGAGAGGGAAGCUUGCUUUCCUUGUCGACGACCGGCGCACGGGUGAGUAACGCGUAUCCAACCUGCCCCCAACUAGGGAAUAACCUUGCGAAAGUAAGACUAAUACCCUAUAAUUUCCUCAGAUGUCAUCUGACGAGGAAUAAAGAUUUAUCGGUUGUGGAUGGGUAUGCGUCUGAUUAGCUUGUUGGCGGGGUAACGGCCCACCAAGGCAACGAUCAGUAGGGGUUCUGAGAGGAAGGUCCCCCACAUUGGAACUGAGACACGGUCCAAACUCCUACGGGAGGCAGCAGUGAGGAAUAUUGGUCAAUGGGCGGAAGCCUGAACCAGCCAAGUAGCGUGCAGGAUGACGGCCCUAUGGGUUGUAAACUGCUUUUAUACAGGAAUAAAGUUAGCCACGUGUGGUUAUUUGUAGGUACUGUAUGAAUAAGGACCGGCUAAUUCCGUGCCAGCCGCCGCCGUAA